CCUACGGGUGGCAGCAGUGGGGGAUAUUGCACAAUGGGGGAAACCCUGAUGCAGCGACGCCGCGUGAGUGAAGAAGUAUCUCGGUAUGUAAAGCUCUAUCAGCAGGGGAGAAAAAAGACGGUACUGGACUAAGAAGCCCCGGCUAACUACGUGCCAGCAGCCGCGUUAAUACGUAGGGGGCAAGCGUUAUCCGGAUUUACUGGGUGUAAAGGGAGCGUAGACGGCAAUACAAGUCGGAAGUGAAAUACCCGGGCUCAACCUGGGAACUGCUUUGGAAACUGGAUGGCUAGAGUGCGGGAGAGGUAGGCGGAAUUCCUAGUGUAGCGGUGAAAUGCGUAGAUAUGAGGAGGAACACCGGUGGCGAAGGCGGCUUACUGGACCGUAACUGACGUUGAGGCUCGAAAGCGUGGGGAGCAAACAGGAUUAGAUACCCCGGUAGUC
Molecule: ribosomal RNA, 441 nt
Filed under: uncultured bacterium
Lineage: Bacteria
Description: partial 16S ribosomal RNA
Rfam family: Bacterial small subunit ribosomal RNA
Source: RNAcentral